Molecule: ribosomal RNA, 371 nt
Filed under: uncultured bacterium
Lineage: Bacteria
Description: bacterial SSU rRNA
Rfam family: Bacterial small subunit ribosomal RNA
Source: RNAcentral
GGGGGGGGCAAGCGUUGUUCGGAAUUACUGGGCGUAAAGGGCGCGUAGGCGGUUUGCUAAGUUGGAUGUGAAAACUCUGGGCUUAACCCGGAGCCUGCAUCCAAAACUGGCAAACUUGAGUACUGGAGGGGAAAGCGGAAUUCCUGGUGUAGCGGUGAAAUGCGUAGAUAUCAGGAGGAACACCGGUGGCGAAGGCGGCUUUCUGGACAGUAACUGACGCUGAGGCGCGAAAGCUAGGGGAGCAAACAGGAUUAGAUACCCUGGUAGUCCUAGCCCUAAACGAUGGAUACUUGGUGUGAGGGGGAUUGAAUCCCUUCGUGCCGUAGCUAACGCAAUAAGUAUCCCGCCUGGGGAGUACGGUCGCAAGGCUG